This 1656-nucleotide long non-coding RNA is filed under the name Sus scrofa (pig). Its description in RNAcentral is "lncRNA (ENSSSCG00015035267.1)". Lineage: Eukaryota; Metazoa; Chordata; Mammalia; Artiodactyla; Suidae. The record is from RNAcentral.
CAUCCAAGAAAUAGAUAAACUUUCCAUCGGGAGAUAGAGCAUAUUAGAGUCAUUUAGCUUCCUUAGAAUUUGGCAGAUAGCAUCCUAAAUUGGAAUAAAAAGCACUGGUCUUGGAUAAAGAGGGUGUGAUUUGAACCAUAAAAAAGAGUGAAAUCUCUCCAUUUGGAACAACAUGGAUGCACCUGGAGGAUAUUAUGCUUAGAAAAAUAAGUCAGACAGAGAAAGAUAAUUACUGUAUGUUUUCACUUAUAUGUAGUAUCUAAAAAUUAACAAAAAUGAACACACAAAACAAAAACAGACUCAUAGAUACAGAGAACUAGCUACGAGUUACCAGAGGAAAGAGGGAUAAAACAGGUGAAGGGGAAUAAGAGGUACAAACUAUUAGAUAUAAAAUAAAUGUUACAGGUAUGUAAUGUACAGAAUAGGAAAUAUAGUCAAUAUUUUAUAAUACCUUUGGAGUAUAAUCUAUAAAAAUAGCAAAUUACUAUGUUGUACACUUGAAACUAAUAUAAAAAUGUGUAUUUCAAAAUUAAAAAAAAGCACUGGCCUCUUUGCUGUUAAAUAGGUGUAAAAUGAAAAUGGAGACAUGAGUAGAAAUUUUAAUUGGGUGAUUUGUUUUUCUUCAACAUGAAACUAGAGUUUCUCCUAAGCUAUUAAUCCUAGGGAUAUGGCGUAACUAGCAUUUCAGAUUAUUUAAUAAAAUAUGCGGUUAUAGAAUCUGAAGAAGAGAAUUUUAUUAGCUAUAAUUGACAAAAUAAAUAAGUGUAACACAUUAAUUAAAUUCAUUAUUCUUGCCCUUCUUCUUUUUUUCCCUUCCUUAAACCUUUUACAAGGGCUGUUUGUAGGACUACUUUCUAUGUCUUUAACAAUCUUUGUGUCAGAAACCUCUGUCUCAAAUUUAAACACCUAUCUAGUUUAAGAAAAAAAUCAUUGUUUACUUUCUGCCUUCUGACAAUUUGCAUACUGUUUCGUUGUAUUUUAUGGACUGAAUAUGUUCUUUGAUAAAUUCAAAUUGGUCAUGCAUUUCAGCAGCUGAAACAUUUAGUGUUUUAAAACCAAAUCAGCAUUUACUUCCUCUGAAGGCCUCAUAUCUAGAUGAGCAGAAUUUUAAACUUGUGGUAUAUCAUCUCAAUGUUGCCAUUCAUUGUUAGCAAAAUAUCGGACCAUUGACAACACAUACUUGUUCAUUACAUAGUGCACAAGUGUUUAACUUUGGAAAUAAAAAUUUUGAACUACUCUUGUGUUUCUGACUUUAUCCUAGUCAUCCUUCAAUGCCACUUUUAGGUGGCUGUGUUAUUUCUUAGUGGCAUGUUUUAUUUAUGAGAUUAGAGAUGUUAUGCUCUAGUAACACACAUUAAAUAAAGGAAAUAGGGAGUUCCCUUUGUGGCUCAGUAGGUUAAGAACCUGGCUAGGGAGUUCCCGUCGUGGCGCAGAGGUUAACGAAUCCGACUAGGAACCAUGAGGUUGCGGGUUCGGUCCCUGCCCUUGCUCAGUGGGUUAAGGAUCCAGUGUUGCCGUGAGCUGUGGUGUAGGUUGCAGACGCAGCUCAGAUCCAGCGUUGCUGUGGCUCUGGCGUAGGCUGGCGGCUACAGUUCUGAUUAGACCUCUAGCCGGGGAACCUCCAUAUGCCGCGGGAGCGGCCCAAAGAAAUAGCAA